GCCGGGCAUGGUGGCGCAUGCCUAUAGUCCCAGCUACUUGGGAGGCUGAGGUGGGAGGAUCGCUUGAGCCCAGGAGUUCUGGGCUGUAUUGCACUAUGCCGAUCAGAUGUCCACACUAAGUUCGGCAUCAAUAUGGUGACCUCCUGGGAGCGGGGGACCACCAGGUUGCCUAAGGAAGGGUGAACCAGCCCAGGUCAGAAACAGAGCUGGUCGAAACUCCCAUGCUGAUCAGUAGUGGGAUCUCGUUUGUGAAUAGCCACUGCACCUCAGCCUAGGCAACAUAGCGAGACCCUGUCUCUU
Molecule: unclassified non-coding RNA, 300 nt
Organism: Callithrix jacchus (white-tufted-ear marmoset)
Lineage: Eukaryota; Metazoa; Chordata; Mammalia; Primates; Cebidae
Rfam family: Metazoan signal recognition particle RNA
About the family: The signal recognition particle (SRP) is a universally conserved ribonucleoprotein. It is involved in the co-translational targeting of proteins to membranes.
Source: Ensembl